Long non-coding RNA from Vidua chalybeata, 693 nucleotides. RefSeq lists it as uncharacterized. The transcript has 3 exons. The record is from RefSeq and is a predicted model, not a curated record. Lineage: Eukaryota; Metazoa; Chordata; Aves; Passeriformes; Viduidae.
CGGAACUCUCAGGAAUGAACAGGGGGGUGGCCACAAGACUGACAUGGGGAUCCUCCUAUGGCAGAGAACAUGGAGCGAACCACUGUGAGGGGAAAUGGGGGUACAUAGAACCGGCUAACAUUUAUCAGGACCCCUAACUGAACCCAACCCGGGAUGCAACAACGUACAUUUUGUUAAAUCUGGCAUAAUAAUUAAAGAAGCCAUUAAUUACUUGGUCCAGGAAGGAGGUCUGAACUGGAGAACAGAAGCAGAUGAUUAAUCAGAGUGGUUCCACCAGAAAAUCGUGGCAAAACACAAGGUUACAAGGAAUGAUCAACUUCUUAUGUGAUUAAUUUUAAAACUUCAAAAUUGGCCUAUGCAGGAGAUGUUAUCAGAAUUUCUGGAUCUGGAAAAAGAAAUCUGAUGAAUGAUAUUGGACAAGCUAAUUGAAAAAGUUGAAGGAAGAAAGAUGAAGCAUGGGAUACAAUGAUAGUUAUACACUUUCUGGGUAGUAAAUUGUUUUAAUCCUCUUCUUGAGUGGGCAAUGGGAAACCUGAUCUCAGCACUCUAGUUUCUAGGAGAACAAACCACAAUUAUGUUCUUUUUCCUGGAAGUGUGGGAAAAAGUGCCAAAUUAUUAAAAGGAGCGAUUUAGGCUCUUAGGACUUCAGGGAGUCUGUGCAUGUGCAUAUAUGCACAUAUAUACAGGUAUGAG